Cannabis sativa is the source of this 1120-nucleotide long non-coding RNA. RefSeq lists it as uncharacterized. The record is from RefSeq and is a predicted model, not a curated record. The transcript has 2 exons. NCBI's taxonomy places the organism in Eukaryota, Viridiplantae, Streptophyta, Magnoliopsida, Rosales, Cannabaceae.
UGAAUUCGGAAAACGGGUAAGAACUGUGUAUAAUGUGUGAUAUGGAUAUUCGAAUGUAUGUAUGUGCUAAUGUAUAUACAUGCUUAUUUGUAGUGAUUCAUACACUACCAACACUUGUACGGUUGCGGUACAGAGUGCAUUGGUGAGGUGUAUGAUGUAUGGAAAUACAUCAUGGUGUUACCAGCACUUGUACGGGAAGGUACAAGGUGUCUGUGGUACAACACUUAACAAUAAUUAAGGUGCGGGCCAUACCCUACCUACACUAGUACGAUGGUAUACUGAGUGCAUGUGGUACAUGGUAAAGGAAAGGCGAAGGCUGAACAGGAGUGAACCUGAGCUCGGGUGGGAUUGUACAUGUCAAAGCAGCGCGACCUGGAGUGUUCGGUCUCGGGACAUCUGGGGAUUGUAAUUUGAUAGUCGUUGUGCGACCUGUAAUAAAUGUAUAUUUUGAAAAGUUAAUUUUUACAAAGUUUGAAAACGGGAUCCCGACACUUGUAAAUAUUUUAUUAUAUUACAAAGUUUAAUAUUUAAUGCAAAAAUUUUAAUUUGGUACGUUUUUCGAGAAAAUUCUUUGAUUAGCAAAGAUUGUACUAUAAUUGAAAAAGCACUGUAGCGUGCCUUAGCAUUAGGGCGUUACAUAUAAAGUUGGGUACGGGUAUAUGUGUUCCCUUCCCUAUCCUACCCUAUCCUAUAUAUUUAUAUUUAUAUUUACUUUUUUAAAAAAUAAUAGUUAUAAAUAUUGAUUUUAACUAAUAUUUUACUUUUUAAAAAUUAAAAUUUGUGUUUUAUUAUUUAUAUUAAAAUAUUAUUUUUUUACUCUUUUGAAAUGCAAUCACAUACAUUUUUUUGUUUUGAAUUUUCAAAGUAUUUUUUUUUUAUUGUUUGUAGCUAUGUAUAUUAGUUGCAAUUGUAUAUCAAUUAAUAUAUAUGAUUUGUAAAAAAUAAGGAGGGGUCACGACCACCGUAACCCCAUAUGUACAUUCGCCCCUGGUUGUAGUUUAGUAAAUCUUUUCUAUUAAAAAUAAAUUAUUUUGUAUUCUACUUCAAAAACAAGAUAAUUUUAAUUUUAAUAUUUUUGAUGACUAAUUUUGAUUGAAAGAACUCUUUAUUAUUGUGUCAA